Molecule: non-coding RNA, 102 nt
Filed under: Jeotgalibacillus campisalis
Lineage: Bacteria; Bacillati; Bacillota; Bacilli; Caryophanales; Caryophanaceae
Description: Guanine sequence
Rfam family: Purine riboswitch aptamer
About the family: Riboswitches are metabolite binding domains within certain messenger RNAs that serve as precision sensors for their corresponding targets. Allosteric rearrangement of mRNA structure is mediated by ligand binding, and this results in modulation of gene expression. A class of riboswitches that selectively recognises guanine and becomes saturated at concentrations as low as 5 nM.
Source: Rfam by way of RNAcentral
AUUAAAUAAUGCAACAUUCGUCGUAUAACGUCGGGAAUAGGGCCCGAAAGUUUCUACCAAGCCACCGUAAAUGGCUUGACUACGAGGUACUGAAUAAAUCUA